Molecule: long non-coding RNA, 2288 nt
Organism: Scophthalmus maximus (turbot)
Lineage: Eukaryota; Metazoa; Chordata; Actinopteri; Pleuronectiformes; Scophthalmidae
Exons: 6
Source: RefSeq, a predicted model, not a curated record
UGCAGGUUCGAGCCCCGACCAGUGCAGUCAGUAAAUCAACAAUCAAUCAAUAAUCAAUCAUUCUACGAAAUCGCUUACUGCCCCUUUAAAGGACGAGAUUGGUGUUGGACCAUUUCUUUUUAUUAUUCACCAAAUCCCAUGGGGGAAAAAUCCCAACCAACUCUCUGACCGUCCUACCGAUCUGUGUCAGUCACUGCAGUCAGUUGUACGGAAGACAAAUGAUGACUAUGGGUAACAAAUUCAUAAUUUAAUUCACCCAAAAGGUUCAGAAGUUUUCCUAAAAAAAAAAAACCUGCAGCUGGAGGUUUUAUCAAACGUGACUCAAACAGCAGGAAGACACUGGUAAUGUGACUAUUUUUAAGAGGCAGAUUAAUGAACAUGUGAUGUUCUAGUGAGUGUGUGUUGGCACAAACUCAAAGUACACAACAGAGUGUGACUGAUCAUCUCACUCAUAUCAGAUGUCACACACACACGCAAUCGUUCUUAGAUCAAUUCAUUGCAGGUGUUGUUGGAAGAAAACUAUAGAAUAUCACCAAAACACAUAUUUAGGCGCAACAAAUGCAAACUGCUCUUUCUUGUAAACUAGAAUUAAUACCAAAAGUUACUUUUGAGAGUGUAAAUCAAACUUGUUUACUGUUAAUACCAGUGGUGUUGCAUCCUGUUUGAGUAAACCAUGUACCCAUUUGGAUUUAGCAUUAGAGCAUGUCUCGGACGAGAAGUAUUAAACUAUAAAUAUUCUACAGGAGCCUGCUGAAGUGAGCACACCUUCAGUCGGUCGUUGUGCGUGUGUGUGUGUGUGUGUGUGUCAGGAGCGUCAGUCUGGUGACAGAUUACCAAUCCCGUGCUCGUCCCAGACCCUGACCGGAGCUUUUGAACGAACUACAUAGAUAAUGAGGGGAGAGAGAAAGGAUAAAAAAAAACAAAAGACACUGAUGGAAUCUCCCCCCUCCUUUUUGCUUACUAUGUAGGCCACUAGCUGUGAAACUUGUCUCGUUUUUAAUGGAACAAAAAAACAUUUGCAGAUGGAGUAUUUUAAAUAAACACUAAUCAUGUAACAGAGAUGUGUUGUGGUCAUUGACAGUUGUUUUGUGUGUUUGAUCUGUGACCGUGAGAAGAUCAAUAAUGCGUGUCAGUGUUGGACUCCUGGAUUCAUCCUGCAAACGCAGCCUACGUCACCUGGAGCAACCUCGCCCGAAACAAAGACGACGUCCAAUGACAUCAUGAGAAAAUGAGAACGUGAAGGCACCAGAGAAUCGUUCACUCUCCUCUCAUCAUGAAGAUUUGGUCAUUGGACCUUCAGAGGUACCAACAGGAGUUAAGUGAAUGAAUGAGUCAACGUCUGUCAUGUCGCAUUGGAUUCUGCUCUAUGAUGAGAUCAUCACUCACCAGUUCGAAGAUGGCGGAUUCUGCUAUGAGCAAGCGAAUACCAGUGUGGUUUCACCCUGCCAAGAAGACGACGACACAAUCGAGAAGGAAAACUGGAGUCAGCAGAAAUUAGCUCGUUGAAGAUGCAUCUGCUCAGGUUGUGAACGUCCCACCAGCAGCAGCAGCACGUGAACGCAUCGGUGCCAGGCCUGUUUGACUAAGACUUAGGCAAGAACACAAGGAGACGUGACCUGCAUCACUGGCUGAUGAGGCCUUAACUCUCAAACGUCCGAGUGAGGAAGAGCAGAUCACCGGCGCCUUGUGCGAGUGAAAACCAUCCCGGGACCAACUCGUCACUUGAUACACACAAUAAUGUGGGAUUGUACGGAUGUAGCCUCGGCACCCCCCCGGCAUCAGGACUCCGCGACUUUUUGUCGAGUCAAGGUAUGAAGUAGCAUGAAAUGGCAAAGUACAAGUACUUAAAAGAUGUAACUUUCACGACAGAACAUGAACCAAAGCCAACGUGCAGAGACUCGGGGGCUCGUUCGACGGAGGUGAUCCGUCAGCGUCAGCAAACAUCACUCCCGCUUUUGUUGUCGUCGUCGUCGUCGUCGUCGUGGUUGUCGUGUGGCGAUGUGUAGUUCCGCCUCCUUACUUCAAUCUGUAGACGUAAAAAUUUGGGGGCGGGGCCUGACUGAGAGCUCGUCCACCGCGCGCCCACCUUCACCUGCAACCGCGCACCGAUUGGACGGAGCAGUUGUCAAUGACAGCGUCCACACGCCGAUGUGAACAGUGUUUUAUCAUCUAUUGUAGGGCUGCGACUAACGGUCGUUUUCAUAAUCGAUAAGUCUGUCGAUUGUUUUCUCGAUUAAUCGAUCAGUCGUUUGGUCCAUAAAAUGUCCACCGAGAUGAUGAUUUGUUUU